Molecule: non-coding RNA, 105 nt
Organism: Gossypium raimondii (Peruvian cotton)
Lineage: Eukaryota; Viridiplantae; Streptophyta; Magnoliopsida; Malvales; Malvaceae
Source: Rfam
AUUUCGUGAUGAGGGCACUUCCGUAAUAAUUCUUUACCUUUCCUAUGCCCCAUACAAUGACUCAUCAUCCAUUUGUUGGAAAUCAGUGAUCUCAUUCCUCAACUU